This 684-nucleotide long non-coding RNA is filed under the name Homo sapiens (human). Its description in RNAcentral is "non-protein coding lnc-LARP1B-6:1". Lineage: Eukaryota; Metazoa; Chordata; Mammalia; Primates; Hominidae. The record is from RNAcentral.
GCACACCUGUGGUCCCAGCUACUCGGGAGAAUACAGAAAUUGAGAGAAGAAAUUCUAGAGGAGACUCAGAUCAUCUUUUCAAUGUGCCCGUCUAUCUUCAUUAGGGGAAGAACUUCAGCAAGGUCUUGCUGGGAUUUAGCCCCCUGAAGUAUCGAAGAUGACACUUGCUGACAGUGGAGGAAACCGAGGAGGCAGCACAGAGGAUGGUGUUUGUGCACAGAGAUGAGAGGGGUGCAGCUUUCACCGACAAGGGGAGGAGGGCACAUUCCCAACCCCAGGGAGUGUUCCAUGCCAGAGACGGAAAGGGACAGCUCAGACAUUGUCCCAGACCCGUCCCUGUCUCCUCCAAAUAAGGAGGCCUCCAACUCCAGUUCAGGAAGUUAGCGGCUCAUAAAGGAUGAGUUGAUUUAGAGCCUUUCCCUGUGAAGAAGCUUGGAAGAGCCAGGGUUCAAAGCCUUUGAGAUAAACCAACAACUGUGCCCCUGCUGGGAAGUCAUUAGUGUUUGAGGGUCCCACCCAUUACUUUUGUAAAGACACAUGCUUUGUGGACUUAUAAAUAAAACUUCAAAGGUGAUGACAGUCCAGCAGCUGUGUAGAUGGUUGCAUCCUUAUGAACUGUGGACAGAAGCUGAAGUGGGUAGGAGUCAGGGCAACUUUCUGGACAGCAGAUUAAACCUGUGAGUG